CAACCCUCAAGCACCGCUUGGCGUUGGCGGCCUACUUGCUCUGUCUCAGACGCUGUAGCCGCCCAAAUACAUUGGCGGUCCCGCCGUGGCUCCCCUUGCGUAGUAACUCAACCUCGCACCGGGUCCAGGCGGUGGCCUGCCGUAAAAUAAAACUUCUAUCAAAA
RNAcentral lists this unclassified non-coding RNA (164 nucleotides) under uncultured Hypocreales. RNAcentral's name for it is "sequence contains ITS2". Lineage: Eukaryota; Fungi; Ascomycota; Sordariomycetes; Hypocreales. RNAcentral also lists the same sequence under 1 other name. The record is from RNAcentral.